RNAcentral lists this transfer RNA (75 nucleotides) under Caudoviricetes sp. RNAcentral's name for it is "tRNA-Leu". It matches the Rfam family "tRNA", at positions 12 to 71 of the family's 71-position model. Rfam says of the family: Transfer RNA (tRNA) molecules are approximately 80 nucleotides in length. Their secondary structure includes four short double-helical elements and three loops (D, anti-codon, and T loops). Further hydrogen bonds mediate the characteristic L-shaped molecular structure. tRNAs have two regions of fundamental functional importance: the anti-codon, which is responsible for specific mRNA codon recognition, and the 3' end, to which the tRNAs corresponding amino acid is attached (by aminoacyl-tRNA synthetases). tRNAs cope with the degeneracy of the genetic code in two manners: having more than one tRNA (with a specific anti-codon) for a particular amino acid; and 'wobble' base-pairing, i.e. permitting non-standard base-pairing at the 3rd anti-codon position. Lineage: Duplodnaviria; Heunggongvirae; Uroviricota; Caudoviricetes. The record is from RNAcentral.
GGAAUGGCAGACGCGCUAGCUUCAGGUGCUAGUGUUCGCAAGGACGUGGGGGUUCAAGUCCCCCCAUCCGCACCA